UGACGGGCCAGGAGUCGAACCUGGUUUUUUUUUUUUUUUUGGCUCAAACUUGGGAGUGUAAUAACCGCUAUACUACCACGCC
Molecule: non-coding RNA, 82 nt
Organism: Podospora bellae-mahoneyi
Lineage: Eukaryota; Fungi; Ascomycota; Sordariomycetes; Sordariales; Podosporaceae
Source: the annotation of a RefSeq genome assembly